CCUCGGGGGGCAGCAGUGGGGAAUAUUGCACAAUGGAGGAAACUCUGAUGCAGCAACGCCGCGUGGAGGAUGACACUUUUCGGAGCGUAAACUCCUUUUAUAUAGGAAGAAGAUGACGGUACUAUAUGAAUAAGCGCCGGCUAACUCCGUGCCAGCAGCCGCGGUAAUACGGAGGGCGCAAGCGUUACUCGGAAUCACUGGGCGUAAAGAGCGUGUAGGCGGAUUAAAAAGUCAGAAGUGAAAUCCUAUAGCUUAACUAUAGAACUGCUUCUGAAACUCUUAAUCUAGAAUAUGGGAGAGGUAGGUGGAAUUUCUGGUGUAGGGGUAAAAUCCGUAGAGAUCAGAAGGAAUACCGAUUGCGAAGGCGAUCUACUAGAACAUUAUUGACGCUGAGACGCGAAAGCGUGGGGAGCAAACAGGAUUAGAUACCCCAGUAGUC
RNAcentral lists this ribosomal RNA (439 nucleotides) under uncultured bacterium. Its description in RNAcentral is "partial 16S ribosomal RNA". It matches the Rfam family "Bacterial small subunit ribosomal RNA", at positions 339 to 795 of the family's 1533-position model. The record is from RNAcentral.